GCAGUGGUGAUUCAGUGGUAGAAUUCUCCACUGCCAAGUGGAGGAACCAGGUUUGAUUCCUGGCCAAUGCA
This 71-nucleotide transfer RNA is filed under the name Loxodonta africana (African savanna elephant). It matches the Rfam family "tRNA". From Rfam's summary of the family: Transfer RNA (tRNA) molecules are approximately 80 nucleotides in length. Their secondary structure includes four short double-helical elements and three loops (D, anti-codon, and T loops). Lineage: Eukaryota; Metazoa; Chordata; Mammalia; Proboscidea; Elephantidae. The record is from Rfam by way of RNAcentral.